CUUUCCAAGAGUGGGCUU
RNAcentral lists this non-coding RNA (18 nucleotides) under Arabidopsis thaliana (thale cress). Lineage: Eukaryota; Viridiplantae; Streptophyta; Magnoliopsida; Brassicales; Brassicaceae. The record is from RNAcentral.